Molecule: ribosomal RNA, 441 nt
Filed under: uncultured bacterium
Lineage: Bacteria
Description: bacterial SSU rRNA
Rfam family: Bacterial small subunit ribosomal RNA (bases 104-441)
Source: RNAcentral
ACUGAAUCCGGUAAUCAAUGGCCACUAGUCUGCUGACACUUGGAACACACGACGAGACAGAGGAAUCGAGAGGCCGGCAGAGAGAUGGAUAUCUGGCAAAAUUCGCCCUUAGAGUUUGAUCAUGGGUCAGGAUGAACGCUAGGGGCAGGCCUAAUACAUGCAAGUCGAACGGGCCGCAAGGCCAGUGGCAAACGGGUGCGUAACGCGUAAGCAACCUGCCCUCAACUGGGGGAUAGCCCGGCGAAAGCUGGGGUAAACCCGCACGGUCCCUUUCUGCUACCUGGCAGGAUGGGUAAACAUUUAUGGGUUGAGGAGGGGCUUGCGUCUGAUUAGCUAGUUGGCAGGGUAACGGCCUACCAAGGCGAUGAUCAGUAGGGGUUCUGAGAGGAUUGGCCCCCACAUGGGUACUGAGAUACGGACCCAACUCCUACGGGAGGCAGC